AACGCAUAUUGCGCCCUUUGGUAUUCCGAAGGGCAUGCCUGUUCGAGCGUCAUUAUCACAGUAUCAAGCUUGGCUUGUUGUUGGGCCUCUUGUCACCUGGUGACAGGUCCGAAAGACAAUGACCGGUGUCAUAAGACUUCCAUAUGCAACGAGCUUAUAACAGCACGCAUCUGGUGGUUGGUGUGACCCGUGGGCAGCCUCUGGCACCCUCUCUUUCUCAAGGUUGACCUCGGAUCAGGUAGGAAUACCCGCUGAACUUAA
This 261-nucleotide unclassified non-coding RNA is filed under the name uncultured fungus. RNAcentral's name for it is "sequence contains ITS2". The stretch from base 1 to 52 matches the Rfam family "5.8S ribosomal RNA", at positions 103 to 154 of the family's 154-position model. The record is from RNAcentral. Lineage: Eukaryota; Fungi.